GCCGGGGUGGCGGAACUGGCAGACGCACGGGACUUAAAAUCCCGGGGGCCCUUAAAGGCCCGUACCGGUUCGAUUCCGGUCUCCGGCACCA
This 91-nucleotide transfer RNA is filed under the name Carboxydothermus hydrogenoformans Z-2901. RNAcentral's name for it is "tRNA-Leu (TAA) (tRNA-Leu-TAA-1-1)". It matches the Rfam family "tRNA". Rfam says of the family: Transfer RNA (tRNA) molecules are approximately 80 nucleotides in length. The record is from RNAcentral. Lineage: Bacteria; Bacillati; Bacillota; Clostridia; Thermoanaerobacterales; Thermoanaerobacteraceae. RNAcentral also lists the same sequence under 1 other name.